CCCUUAGACGUUCUGGGCCGCACGCGCGCUACACUGACACAGGCAACGAGCUUUCCUUUACCGAAAGGUAUGGGUAAUCUUUUGAAACUGUGUCGUGCUGGGGAUAGAUCCUUGCAAUUUUUGAUCUUAAACGAGGAAUUCCUAGUAAGCGCGAGUCAUCAACUCGCGUUGAUUACGUCCCUGCCCUUUGUACACACCGCCCGUCGCUCCUACCGAUUGAGCGGUCCGGUGAAGACUCAGGAGAUGGGCGCGUGCUUGGUUCGCCAACUGCGCUGCCUGCCAAAUUUGUCUAAACCUUAUCGCUUAGAGGAAGGAGAAGUCGUAACA
This 327-nucleotide ribosomal RNA is filed under the name uncultured eukaryote. RNAcentral's name for it is "partial 18S ribosomal RNA". It matches the Rfam family "Eukaryotic small subunit ribosomal RNA", at positions 1470 to 1796 of the family's 1831-position model. The record is from RNAcentral.